Arvicola amphibius (Eurasian water vole) is the source of this 1424-nucleotide long non-coding RNA. RefSeq lists it as uncharacterized. The record is from RefSeq and is a predicted model, not a curated record. The transcript has 3 exons. NCBI's taxonomy places the organism in Eukaryota, Metazoa, Chordata, Mammalia, Rodentia, Cricetidae.
UCUGAAGAUGGAAGAUUCGAGGCAUUUCUUACCAGAAAGGAGGUGGUGGACAUGGGAAGAAAACACUGUUGGAAGGAAAGAGUCAAUUAGGAUGGCUUUUUCCAUCAAAAAGAUAAAUCAUUUUUUCAUAUUUAUUUAUUCUUGUAGCAUUGAAUUGAAAAUUGGUCAGAAAGAGGCAGGCCUCCCAUGGACAAAGCCUGGGACAUCAAGCUAAAGCAGGACUAAGCUCCUCCCCUUGCAUCAAGGCUGGAUGAGACAAGAAAAUGGAAACUCAAGGAGAAGAGGCCAUCUUUUCAAAUGUGAUACCAACGAAGGGAAGGAGAUGGGAUGUGAACUAAGUUAUGUAUUCAUAUUUAUCCCUAGUGCAUGUUUGGCAUUCUUGUUUAUUUAUCAUUCUCUUGAGAACUAAGUUAGUGUGCAGACCUUCCAAGUCAGAUAUGCUCUCGGCACUGAUAAUACCAAGUCCAUGCGCGUGUGAGCCUGUGGGUCAGGGGAAAUUUAUAAUAAUGAUUUGGAACACAAAUUGUGUCUUCAAAUCAACUCUUUAAAUUUAUUUUUUCCCUCUAGGUGGAUAUUUAUUAAUAACAACAAAAUCAUUUGGGGGAUUGUUGUUGCAAUUUUUCUUUAUGCUCAUCUCUCUGUUCUCUUGUUUUCAUAUUUUGGAAAAGAGCUUCUGAAAAACUUUUCAAUAUUACUUUAGACUCCUACACUAUGGAAAAGAAUAGGAGGUUGAUAUUUUACCCAUGAGACUUGCCCUCUGAUGCAAAGAAGAAUUUAUGCAAAUUGGAAAUUGGAUAAUGAUGGUGGGGUGUGGUCCAGAAGGAACAUGAGCCUGUCUAUGGAUAAGGCUCUCAGCUUGGAGGCAAUUUCAGGAUUAUUAUAUUGUCAAAGUGACUGGAAUUUGUGGCCAGAGUAGCCAAGAAAAGGGGACUAUGCAGAUAAGGAGUUCUCAGAAUCUGCACAGGGGACCUCUUGGGCCAUUAGUUAAUAUGCUCAUGAGUUCCGCCAGGUUGGGCAAAAACACUUCUAGAAAAAGAAGUGAUACUGAGAAGUAGCGGGCUACUGGGUCCUUAAAUUAUCACCAUGUGGGAACUAUUGAAAUUCCAGUAGCCAAAGUGUAGAAAAUAUUUAAGUUGAUAUUCUCAUAUACUAGCAGUAUGCCAUUGAAAGUAAAAUCCCAAGCCUUGCAAUACCUGGGGAUAAAUGGAUGGAAAUACGUGUAGGAAAAAACACAUUAAAAGUUAUAAACGCUGACUUAUCUACUUAUAUAAAACAAUUUUAAAAGUAUAAAAUUAAUUGCAAUUAGACAAGUGGUUGCCUAGGGUUCUGAUGCUAUUUGUAUCAAUUGUCAAAAAUCAGAAAGCUGAAUUCAAAAUGGGAGACGCUGAUGUUAUGAAAUUAUACCUAAACAAAACUGAAACUAA